Molecule: long non-coding RNA, 252 nt
Filed under: Manihot esculenta (cassava)
Lineage: Eukaryota; Viridiplantae; Streptophyta; Magnoliopsida; Malpighiales; Euphorbiaceae
Description: long non-coding RNA (MESC_LNC000201)
Source: RNAcentral
AUUGGAUGAUCCUUAGUCCUCGAUAUGAUGCGAUGUGAUAUGAUACGGUAUGGUACGGAAGUCCAGGUUGUACCCAUUCUACGUCCCUGGCACUAUGUAAGAGAAAGUCCAGGUUGUACCCAUUCUACGUCCCUGGCACAUUGGAAUGUUAUGUUAUGUUAUGUUAAGAGAAAGACCGGUUGACCCAUUCUACGUCCCGGCACUUUGGAAUGUAGAGGACUCUUGGUGACAAUACCAUCCGUGAUGUGAUUU